This 378-nucleotide unclassified non-coding RNA is filed under the name plant metagenome. RNAcentral's name for it is "partial contains 5.8S ribosomal RNA, internal transcribed spacer 2, and large subunit ribosomal RNA". The stretch from base 1 to 105 matches the Rfam family "5.8S ribosomal RNA", at positions 50 to 154 of the family's 154-position model. The record is from RNAcentral.
GAAAUGCGAUAAGUAAUGUGAAUUGCAGAAUUCAGUGAAUCAUCGAAUCUUUGAACGCACCUUGCGCUCCUUGGUAUUCCUUGGAGCAUGCCUGUUUGAGUAUCAUGAAAUCUUCAAAGUAAAUCUUUUGUUAACUCAAUUGGUUUCUACUUUGGUAUUGGAGGUCUUUGCAGCUUCACACCUGCUCCUCUUUGUUCAUUAGCUGGAUCUCAGUGUUAUGCUUGGUUCCACUCGGCGUGAUAAGUUAUCUAUCGCUGAGGACACUGUAAAAGGUGGCCAAGGUAAAUGCAAAUGAACCGCUUCUAAUAGUCCAUUGACUUGGACAAUACUUUUAAGAUCUGAUCUCAAAUCAGGUAGGACUACCCGCUGAACUUAAGC